AUAGAAUUGAAUGGAAUGUGAAUCUACACUCAGGUGAAGCCAGGGUAUUUUGAACGUCCCUACAAGACUGAAGCACCACUGGGAAAUAAGUAAUAGAGAUGCCAUCAUUGUGGAGGUCAUAAUGCUUGUCCUGAACACGAGGGGUCUCUAGUGAGGCACCAAUUCAGCUCCUCUUCUGUGGAGAGACUACAUGGGUGCUGAAGAAACAAAGACACAACGCAGCUCCUCUCAAAGGAGUUCAGAGCUUAGCAGGGGAGACAGAACCAUGAAUGCAUAGUUACGCAUCAAUGUGCUGCACGAGCACUGAAGCCCAAGCACAAGCGGCCUGAGUCCCAGUGAGUCUAACCCCUCCCCAUCCUGCCCUCCCACACCACAACCCAAUC
Molecule: long non-coding RNA, 383 nt
Filed under: Homo sapiens (human)
Lineage: Eukaryota; Metazoa; Chordata; Mammalia; Primates; Hominidae
Description: non-protein coding lnc-RAB27B-11:7
Source: RNAcentral